CAGCAGCCACGGGAAUACGUAGGGAGCAAGCGUUGUUCGGAUUUACUGGGCGUAAAGGGCGCGUAGGCGGCGCGGUAAGUCACUUGUGAAAUCUCUGAGCUUAACUCAGAACGGCUAAGUGAUACUGCUGUGCUAGAGUGCGGAAGAGGCAACCGGAAUUCUUGGUGUAGCGGUGAAAUGCGUAGAUAUCAAGAGGAACACCUGAGGCGAAGGCGGGUUGCUGGGCCGACACUGACGCUGAUGCGCGAAAGCCAGGGGAGCAAACGGGAUUAGAUACCCCUGUAGUCCCUGUCUCUUAUAC
RNAcentral lists this ribosomal RNA (301 nucleotides) under uncultured bacterium. Its description in RNAcentral is "partial 16S ribosomal RNA". It matches the Rfam family "Bacterial small subunit ribosomal RNA", at positions 509 to 807 of the family's 1533-position model. The record is from RNAcentral.